CAGGAAAAGCCCACCCUGCAAACGCAUUGGCGAACUCUCCCCAUAACAUGCUGUCCAUUCUGGGUUCCACAUAGUUCUUAAACCAUUCUCUGGCUUUCUUGCAUUUUAAUGUGAAACCUGCCAUCUCAAUGGCUCUCCUAUCAUCUGCUCCCAACUCACUAGUUAUCAUCCUAACUGCUCUGAGGUAAUCAAAUGGAUCAUCUCCCGUGUUAUAUUUAGG
Molecule: long non-coding RNA, 220 nt
Filed under: Manihot esculenta (cassava)
Lineage: Eukaryota; Viridiplantae; Streptophyta; Magnoliopsida; Malpighiales; Euphorbiaceae
Description: long non-coding RNA (MESC_LNC004671)
Source: RNAcentral